The sequence is a transfer RNA, 69 nucleotides long. It matches the Rfam family "tRNA". From Rfam's summary of the family: Transfer RNA (tRNA) molecules are approximately 80 nucleotides in length. Their secondary structure includes four short double-helical elements and three loops (D, anti-codon, and T loops).
GAAAAAAUAAGCUAAUAAAACUACUGGGUUCAUACCCCAACCAUAGAGGUCCUAAUCCUUUUUUUUUCA